UAGCGUAAUUCGGAAUUACUGGGCGUAAAGCGCGCGUAGGCGGUUAAGUAAGUUAAUUGUGAAAGCCCAAAGCUCAACUUUGGAAUUGCAAUUAAAACUACUUAGCUAGAGUUUAUCAGAGGAAAGCGGAAUACAUAGUGUAGAGGUGAAAUUCGUAGAUAUUAUGUAGAACACCAGUUGCGAAGGCGGCUUUCUGGGAUAAUACUGACGCUGAGGUGCGAAAGUAUGGGUAGCGAAGAGGAUUAGAUACCCUCGUAGUCCAUACCGUAAACGAUGAUUGUUAGAUGUUGGAAAUUUAUUUUCAGUAUCACAGCUAACGCGUUAAACAAUCCGCCUGGGGAGUACGACCGCAAGGUUAAAACUCAAAUGAAUUGACGGGGACCCGCACAAGCGGUGGAGCAUGUGGUUUAAUUCGAAGCUACGCGCAGAACCUUACCAACACUUGACAUGUCUGUCGCGGAAUCCAGAGAUGGAUUCUUUCGGUUCGGCCGGACAGAACACAGGUGCUGCAUGGCU
Molecule: ribosomal RNA, 516 nt
Filed under: uncultured Rickettsiales bacterium
Lineage: Bacteria; Pseudomonadati; Pseudomonadota; Alphaproteobacteria; Rickettsiales
Description: bacterial SSU rRNA
Rfam family: Bacterial small subunit ribosomal RNA
Source: RNAcentral